GCCCCCUUAGCUCAGCUGGUUAGAGCGUGGUGCUAAUAACGCCAAGGUCUUGGGUUCGAUCCCCAAAAGGGGGCA
Non-coding RNA from Exocentrus adspersus, 75 nucleotides. The record is from the annotation of a GenBank genome assembly. Lineage: Eukaryota; Metazoa; Arthropoda; Insecta; Coleoptera; Cerambycidae.